Molecule: ribosomal RNA, 273 nt
Filed under: uncultured Pseudomonas sp.
Lineage: Bacteria; Pseudomonadati; Pseudomonadota; Gammaproteobacteria; Pseudomonadales; Pseudomonadaceae
Description: partial 16S ribosomal RNA
Rfam family: Bacterial small subunit ribosomal RNA
Source: RNAcentral
GUCCUAGUUACCAGCACGUAUGGUGGGCACUCUAAGGAGACUGCCGGUGACAACCGGAGGAAGGUGGGGAUGACGUCAAGUCAUCAUGGCCCUUACGGCCUGGGCUACACACGUGCUACAAUGGUCGGUACAAAGGGUUGCCAAGCCGCGAGGUGGAGCUAAUCCCAUAAAACCGAUCGUAGUCCGGAUCGCAGUCUGCAACUCGACUGCGUGAAGUCGGAAUCGCUAGUAAUCGUGAAUCAGAAUGUCACGGUGAAUACGUUCCCGGGCCUU